ACAGUAUGUUGUGCAACCAGUCUCACGACUAUUCUGCAAGUGGAUUCAGCCAGAAAAUAAGGGACUGAUCACUUAAAACAGCCGUGUAGAGUUACCUUCCUUCACGGUUAUCUGUAAAAAUAUGUUAGUUGCAUACGUCAUCACGCUACCAUGAGAUAUGCCUUGCUUGAAGUAAACUCAAAGCCAAAGCCCAAAUAUGAA
Molecule: long non-coding RNA, 201 nt
Organism: Hypanus sabinus (Atlantic stingray)
Lineage: Eukaryota; Metazoa; Chordata; Chondrichthyes; Myliobatiformes; Dasyatidae
Exons: 3
Source: RefSeq, a predicted model, not a curated record